RNAcentral lists this unclassified non-coding RNA (245 nucleotides) under plant metagenome. RNAcentral's name for it is "partial contains small subunit ribosomal RNA, internal transcribed spacer 1, and 5.8S ribosomal RNA". The record is from RNAcentral.
UCUCCGUUGGUGAACCAGCGGAGGGAUCAUUACCGAGUUUACAACUCCCAAACCCAAUGUGAACGUUACCAAACUGUUGCCUCGGCGGGGUCACGCCCCGGGUGCGCCGCAGCCCCGGAACCAGGCGCCCGCCGGAGGAACCAACCAAACUCUUUCUGUAGUCCCCUCGCGGACGUUAUUUCUUACAGCUCUGAGCAAAAAUUCAAAAUGAAUCAAAACUUUCAACAACGGAUCUCUUGGUUCUG